Molecule: RNA transcript, 6528 nt
Organism: Acanthochromis polyacanthus (spiny chromis)
Lineage: Eukaryota; Metazoa; Chordata; Actinopteri; Pomacentridae
Gene: dpf1
Gene name: double PHD fingers 1
Exons: 11
Source: RefSeq, a predicted model, not a curated record
CGCUCCAGCCGCAGCCCCAGAGAAUGAAUGAAAUUGAAAUAGCUGCUACAUUACAUGUACAAUACCGGGCUCUGCAGUGUUGCAUUCUAUCAUACUAUAUCAAAAUGGCCACAGCGGUACAGAACCCCCUCAAAUCGCAAUCUGGAGGUGCAGUCAUCAAGAACAGUCUUGGUGAGGAGUUUUAUAAGGAGGCCAUUGAACACUGUCGCAGCUACAAUGCCCGUCUAUGUGCAGAGCGCUCCAUGCGUCUCCCCUUCCUCGACUCCCAGACUGGCGUGGCCCAGAGCAACUGCUACAUCUGGAUGGAGAAGAACCACCGUGGACCAGGUCAUGCUCCAGGUCAGUUGUACACAUAUCCCGCUCGCUGCUGGCGCAAGAAGAGACGGCUAAACAUCCUGGAGGACCCGCGGCUUGUACCAAUCGAGUUCAAGAUUGACUACGAGGCCUCUCUAAAGAAGGAGGGGGGCAUCCCAGACGGUCCUGUGCUAGAGUCGCUGCUCGCUGGGGAAACCCUGGACAAGAAGGUAGAAACCAAGGAAGAAGAGCCAAUGAGCGAAUGUCAGAAGUUGCUUGUCGGGGAUUUCCCUCAUGAGCUGGAGGUGGACGAGAUGGAGGAAGACGUCCCGAAGCGCAAGAACCGUACCAAAGCACGGGCCUAUGGUGUCGGGGGCAUGAGAAAGAGACAAGAGCUGCCUGCCAUUGAAGACAGAGACAAGCCUUACGUCUGUGACAUCUGUGGAAAGCGCUAUAAGAACCGUCCAGGGCUGAGCUACCAUUACACUCACACACACCUGGCAGAUGAGGAGGGUGAAGAAGACUCAGAGCGACACACGCUACCCUUCCAGCGCAAGAACAACCACAAGCCCAAGAAAGCACCGGACGGCUCAGUCAUCGCCAACGGCUACUGCGACUUCUGCCUCGGAGGCUCAAAGAAGACCGGCUGUCCUGAAGACCUAAUCUCCUGUGCGGACUGUGGACGCUCAGGACCAGCUGCUGUUCUGUGAUGAUUGUGACAGAGGCUACCACAUGUACUGUCUGAGCCCUCCCAUGUCUGAACCACCAGAGGGGAGCUGGAGCUGUCAUCUGUGUCUGAGACAACUGAAGGAGAAGGCCUCAGCCUACAUCACCCUCACUUAAUCUGCAGAGCUGCUCCUCAUCCUCUCGGCCUGUCGUCCUCUCCCACACCACCUCUCCGUCGACCCUCCUCUUGUGAUCCGCUCGCCUCCACUUUCUCUACAAUCUGUCCUCGUGACCUCUGACACGACUGAGCACACAGCACCGCAGCGCUGCACCCAUUCUUGAACGUCUCUCAGCGGCGAGCCAACCUCUGUCCUUUUGUCACUCAAAUUCACUGUUGUGCUUGACCCGAACCCCCCUUCCCCUCCAUUCCUGCUCUGUCUCAACAGAGGAAUUCAUCAGCUGGCAAUAAGUUUGCUAGCAAGACACACACUCCAGCCUGCCAAGGGCACUUCUGAGGCAUACUACUCCACAGGAACCCUCAUAAGGGCCCUCGGAUGAGCCCUAAUGAUCUUCAGCUGCAACUCAGUCAAGUAGUGAGUGAGAAUUAAUAAGAUGGAUAGGUGUUAGGCAGAGGACAGGGCUUUGAAGACCCUGAAUAACCAUGGAGCAGUAUGUUUCGGUGUUAGCCAACUGUGAAAUAUACACCCAACCAAAAUUUCAUUUUCUCCCUCUGUCCUUUACCACGUGUGGCAGGACUGAGGCGCUGAACUCUGCUCCGUUAUUUGUCUGCAGGGCUUCCUCGCCCUGAGCAGUUUCAAACGAGGAGUGAAUUGUACAAAAUUCUGACUGAUUCUCUAUCCACAUGCUCAUAAAAACUCCCCUCACUGGAAAAUGAGGAGCAUCUGGUCAGGAACUCAGACCAUCUUUGACCUCACCCAGUCCUCUCUCCUUGCAUGGGGUUUCCACAAAUUAAUGAUGCAUUUUGAGAUUGACACUGAAGGUUUCAGUGCACGGAUGUGAUCCUCUGAUGAAAGGAGAGAAGGAUUUUUCUCUAAUCAGCUAUCUCUGAUCGAACAGUGUAUUUAAAAAUGACAAUUUAGGAUUAGCAUCUCUCACAAAUCCUUUACCUGACCUGUACUCGCCCUUUCCUCCUAUGAAACAAUGACUGUGAAGCCAAUGCGAGACUGAAACGCUCCUGGUGCUUGGUAUGUAUUAUCUGUGUGUUAAGAAUGUAGGAUUGAUGUGUGGACAAUGCAGAUUCUCUGUCUGGCCCAUGCCGAGGCCUAAAAACCUAUUUUUUAUUAUUCCUUUUUCAUUUUUUUUCAUUUGCAUGUUGUUAUUUCAAUUGUUUUUAAAUACUUUUAAUUGAAAUUGAAAAGAAAGCACACUUAAUUCGCAAUAAUGUGUUUGUGAUAUGAACUCUUUUGGCCAAACUGGGUGUGUUUUAAACUCUGUGUGUGCCUGUGUGUCUGUUUGUGUGAGUUUAUUUGAGCACUACAGUAACUGUAGCUAGCUCCGUGCUCGAUGGGAUCUGUGAGAGGAAGCGAGUAACAGGGUGGUAAUGUGAAUGUAAGGAAAGUCAGCAUUUUCCUGUUCAGGCAUUCUGGCAGUGGUGGGAGAACUCUCAAGUCUUGGUGCUGAAGUCGAGACAAACAAGUGUUAAAGGAACAGAUGAGAAGUUAUAGUUUCACAGGUUAUGUGCCAGACGAUUUCUUGGCAGUGACUCCAGGAAGUUGCUCUGUCCAGCAAAGAAAGAGUUCGGGACAUAACCCAGUUUUAAAAAUAAGAAACACAACUUGCUGGUUACACCCUUUGUUUUAUAUAACAUAGUCCUGGAGCUUUAGAGGUGCUAGUAGGCAGAUUGUGUUUACUCAAGACACUGCCAGGCUAGCUGUCUCCCCAGCUUGUAGUCUUAAGGCUACGCUAAGCUAACUUUCUCCUGUCUGACGCUUCAUAAUUAUCACACAGUAAGAGUAAUAUCAAUUUCCUCAUCUAACGCUCACAAUCCUGAAAGCUCAAAGAGUUUUGUCCUGUAAGUAUAAACUCAUCACCAAAAUUUAUGACAUCUAAUAUGAUUCAUGUGCAAGGACUUUCCUCUCCCACAUGCUCUAAUUUAGUAGGAAACCAAAUCCUGGAUAAGCAUCACCACAGCACAAUACACCUUAAAAGAUCUUAAAAGAUGUGUUUUAACAGUCACUAAACCACCCCUGUUUCUUCUUCCAUUUUUAUUUAUACAAGAAAAACAAUCAUAGUAUCAUCAAAAUACAACAAAAAUCAAGUCCACUGCUUCUGCUUGACAUUCUCCAUCAUGUUCACAUUUAAGUGACACAGAAGCUUUAAUAACUUGAUGAGGGCCCCAAAGACAGUUCAAAGUCACGCGGUGGCUUAAAUUAGUUGCUUUUCUAUCUCAUCUUUGUGUCCUGCAGAACAUGAGGCCACCUGUCUCCUUAAAGACAUUGACAAGAGAUGAUGUUGUUACCUGCCAGUGUGCUCUGCACAUUAGAGGCCAGUCCAAAUGUUAAGGCUGAGGUUGUCAUGAUGGGGUUAAUAUGCCAGCCGGCAUGGAUUUUUGUGAGCUUGCACUGAAACUCCCCCUUUUUCCUUUAAACCCAAAGUUCCAUGAUUUUAUCCUCAACCAGUUUAACUGGACUUCUCAAGGCAACUUACAUAGGCAUGUUGAAGGACAGGUGAAGUGUGUCACCACCCGCUGUGAGUUGAUACUCGAUGUGAGUAGCACUUGCCUGAGUGUAAAUGGCUUAUAGCAUAUGAGGUUUGCCAUCUAUUGGAUAAUAUAAAGGCACUGACCACUCUGGGAACAUAUACUGUAAUGACCGUGGUGUCAACAGUUUGUGUGGACUACUGUUUUGGAUCCAACUAAGAACUUGAGGACACCACACACGGCAAAAAUGUAGUGAACUAUUAACCAGAAGAUAGCCCUGCCCUGAAGCACAGCCUGCUUUAUCAUCUAUUUUACUGUAAAUGAGACCAUAAAUUCCAACAUGAACAUUAUUUUGUUUUUAAAAAGUGCUGAAAUUGGCAAUUGAGACAAUAAACUCAUUAGGAAAGGUUUACUGAGGUAAAAAAAUCUAAUUAAAAGUAGGGUCAUUUUCUCUUAAACUUCAAUACAUUCAGAUUAGUGGUGUCGCUCCCUAGUGGUCAUUAGAAAGAAUGCAGGUUUAAGGCAUUUUGAAGUUGGUUAUAUUUUUAAGACCUGAAGGUUCCAUCUUUUAUGUACAGUCUAUGGAGUAAAACAAGUUCAGUGCUGAUCUGCAGCAGGCAAGAACUGGAGGAACACUGGACCAAUCCAAAAUAAUAACCACUGCCUAUUCAUAAUAUGAGAACACUGGGUUUCGGAAAUUGCAGUGUUGUAUCAGCAAUUCACAAAAAACACAAAAACGCACACAUAUUACAAGAAUACAUUAUGAAAUAGGUGUAUAUAUUUAAAAUUAAUAUAUCUUAAAAGAUUUCUGCUCUGUUCACAUCUCCACUUCAGUCUGUUAUUGAGCUCAGAAUCACUGAGUAGUGGUAGGAGUAGACUCUAUUCAAUGGCUUUGGUUAAGCUGCACGCUGAAGAAUUCUACGUAAUGUGAGUCGCACAGGAACCGUUUCACUGGAUUUUGCCCAAAACCAUUUGUGCUGGCACAUCUCACAUCAGACAGCGAUUCAUUUCAGGUCACGACUCACAUCAAGUGGUGACAAAGUGCCGAUUUAGGAGGCGUUCAACAUGCCUAAGUUGUACGCAAAGAGAAGGCAUUCAUUCAUUGAUCUGUGAGCUUUAAGCUUGGAGACAAUAGCUGUAAAUUAGGGAAUCGAUCAAGGGCAACAAAUUGCCAUUAUAUACAGUACUUUACGUUCUUGUGUACGCAACAAAGUAUGAAGCAGCUCAGAAUCAGUUGGCUUUGGUUUGAAUGAACAUCUUAUUUUAAUGCUGCAUCACAUCUCUAAAAGGAAACUUGCAAGAUCAGAUGGCUCGUGAGAAUGUAUCUGAACUGUAGUUAUGUUCGCCAUCUGAUACAGAGGGACAGUAGGUGCAAAUACUGUGCUACCCCUCAGUCUAAUGUAACGCCACCGUUGCAUGAAUGACACCUCCAGUGUGUCUGAUUUCAUAUUUUGAUAUUGCCAGUGAUGCUUUUUUAAAUAAUGAUGAGAGAAAACCUUCAACUUAUGUUCAAAUUCCUGUUUAGUUUUGUAAUUUGCGUGUUUUCUUUCCCCACGUUUUGCACAGUGUGGCUGCAUUUGGUCUUCAAGGGUGUUUAUGCCUCUGUUUGUAUGUGUGUGUGUGUGUGUGUGUGUGUGUGUGUGUGUGUGUGUGUGUGUGUGUGUGUGUGUGUGUGUGUGUGUGUGUGUGUGUAAUCAUUUAUGACUACUGGAAGGUCAGCGAAAAAGCAAACUGAACCAAAAUAAUGAAUUAUUAUUAUUCUGCAGACAUUUUCUUCUCAGUGGAACCAGAUGCAUGGCACAGCACUGCUACAGGAUUGUAAUAUUGGGUACAGACUGCAACAAGAAGUGUACUUAAGUGCACACUUUUCACAUAAGGCACUUGGAUUAUGCUGUUUCAUUUCAUGAUGUGUUAAAUUAGUAGUAUAGUUGCCAACAAAACCAGUAGUAUCCAAUCAAAAGUUGUUUAUUUCCAUUAACCAAUCAGAGCUAACACCUAGACUUGAAGUGUGUUUGAGUGGAAAUAGUUUGAUGUGGAAGUUUAAUGAUGAUUGUCAGAUUGAAUCAAAUGGAAAUGUCUGUGACUUGGAUGAUGAUGAUGAUGAUGUCAAUGGUGACUGAAAAGCCUUUAUAUUGGGAGCUUUCCUGGCACUUAGUAGGAGAAGCAUGGUGGAGUCAAACUAACUUUGAUUGUACUAUCUGGGGCGGGUGGGGAAGCCAUGUUGGGGUGUUGGAUGGGUGGGUAUCCAUGUGAUUAUUUAUUGAAACUUGAGCUUUCCCUUUGUACAAAUGGACAAACCAAGGUGAAGCUGAUGAUGAGGGGUGUUGGUGUGGGGUCACACAAAGUCCCACCAGGAAUCUCCAGGCCUCAAUUUGACGCCGUCGCCCCCAUCUCGUCGUGUUUCAGGCUGUCGGGGUGUCCCAGUUAGAGGGUUGAGACUUUGGGCCACUCCUGGCCUCUCUUGUAAAUUGUCGUUCUGUGAUCUUGCUUGCACUUUUUUUUUCCUUUCCCAAAAAUAAGAAACUAAUUGUAAGUAUGUAUGUGUGUGAGUGCGGGUGCACUUUUUAUUUUUAAUCUCUGCAUUUUUUUCAACGUGAUUGUCUGUUGUAAACAACACUGGAUAAAGAUGAGUUUUUAAUUUGUAUUUUUUACCUUGAGAGGAAGAUGAAAUCUUCUUGGACAUUUUUUAACCCCCGGCUCCUUCUCCCUUUCCUCCCCCCUUUCUCUCUCUUUCUCUUUCUCUGUCUGGUACCUGGGAAUGCUUUGAAAUGUGGACUGUGACCGCAUUGCUGUCAUCACUGCUGUCAGUCAUUCUCUGUGAAUUCAUUCGGCUUUCUCAAUUUACCCAGUUUUUUCUCUCUUCCCUUGACUCAUUUUUUUUCCAUUAAAAGAUGAGAUUGAAAAAUGAA